UAUCCGUACCGGAAGGUGCGGAUGGAUCACCUCCUAACAGGGAGACAACACAAUGAUUUUGAUGCCUGAGUAUUUUUAUUCUUAGGCCGAAGUCCUGUCACCUUAGGUCGAUCGGUACCUCAGCUUUGAAGUUAAGAAUCAGCAGCAAUGUUGAUUGCUUGAUGGAGAUUUUCAGUUCCUAAACUUUGUCUAGGUCACACCCCAAAAGGGAUGAGACUCCUGGGCCAUUAGCUCAGGUGGUUAGAGCGCACCCCUGAUAAGGGUGAGGUCCCUGGUUCAAGUCCAGGAUGGCCCAUUCGGUGUUGGGGGUUUAGCUCAGUUGGUAGAGCGCCUGCUUUGCAAGCAGGAUGUCAGGAGUUCGAGUCUCCUAACCUCCACUGACCGAACUUUAUCCCCAUCUCCAAGUUAUUGGAGUUGAGCUCGAUUGGAGUGUGAUUUAGAUUUGUCCGCUGGAUGACCCCAGCUUCCUGUCAUUCCAAGUUUUAAGUUUAAAGCUUUGAAUUUGGUUGAUAAGAUGCUGGGCUCGGAUCAAAUGAUCAAGUAAUUGAUGAUUUGAUUUGAAGUUCUAGCAGAACCUUGACAACUGCAUAGGUGAAGUCUGGAAAAACAAAGCAUCUUACAGAU
Molecule: transfer RNA, 624 nt
Filed under: Synechococcus sp. ZS02-2
Lineage: Bacteria; Bacillati; Cyanobacteriota; Cyanophyceae; Synechococcales; Synechococcaceae
Description: partial contains 16S ribosomal RNA and 16S-23S ribosomal RNA intergenic spacer
Rfam family: tRNA (bases 305-377)
Source: RNAcentral